This 463-nucleotide ribosomal RNA is filed under the name Filifactor alocis. RNAcentral's name for it is "bacterial SSU rRNA". It matches the Rfam family "Bacterial small subunit ribosomal RNA", at positions 9 to 453 of the family's 1533-position model. The record is from RNAcentral. Lineage: Bacteria; Bacillati; Bacillota; Clostridia; Peptostreptococcales; Filifactoraceae.
GAGUUUGAUUCUGGCUCAGGAUGAACGCUGGCGGCGUGCUUAACACAUGCAAGUCGAACGAACGACUAUUAACAGAACCUUUCGGGGCGAAGAUGAUAGAAGUUAGUGGCGGACGGGUGCGUAACGCGUGGGUAAUCUGCCUUUGUCAAAGGAAUAACUAUUCGAAAGAAUAGCUAAAACCGUAUAACAUAUUAAUAGGGCAUCCUAAUAAUAUCAAAACGAUAGUGGACAAAGAUGAGCCCGCGUCUGAUUAGCUAGUUGGUGAGAUAAAAGCCCACCAAGGCAACGAUCAGUAGCCGACCUGAGAGGGUGAACGGCCACAUUGGAACUGAGACACGGUCCAAACUCCUACGGGAGGCAGCAGUGGGGAAUAUUGCACAAUGGGGGGAACCCUGAUGCAGCAACGCCGCGUGAGUGAAGAAGGCAUUCGUGUCGUAAAACUCUGUAGUAGGGGAAGAAAGAA